CGGCGUGUAGCGCAGCCUGGUAGCGCGCUUGGUUCGGGACCAAGAAGUCGGUGGUUCAAAUCCACUCACGCCGACCA
This 77-nucleotide transfer RNA is filed under the name Myxococcales bacterium. Its description in RNAcentral is "tRNA-Pro". It matches the Rfam family "tRNA". Rfam says of the family: Transfer RNA (tRNA) molecules are approximately 80 nucleotides in length. Their secondary structure includes four short double-helical elements and three loops (D, anti-codon, and T loops). Further hydrogen bonds mediate the characteristic L-shaped molecular structure. tRNAs have two regions of fundamental functional importance: the anti-codon, which is responsible for specific mRNA codon recognition, and the 3' end, to which the tRNAs corresponding amino acid is attached (by aminoacyl-tRNA synthetases). tRNAs cope with the degeneracy of the genetic code in two manners: having more than one tRNA (with a specific anti-codon) for a particular amino acid; and 'wobble' base-pairing, i.e. permitting non-standard base-pairing at the 3rd anti-codon position. The record is from RNAcentral. Lineage: Bacteria; Pseudomonadati; Myxococcota; Myxococcia; Myxococcales.